GAUGAAGAACGCAGCGAAAUGCGAUAAGUAAUGUGAAUUGCAGAAUUCCGUGAAUCAUCGAAUCUUUGAACGCACAUUGCGCCCCCUGGCAUUCCGGGGGGCAUGCCUGUCCGAGCGUCAUUUCUGCCCUCAAGCACGGCUUGUGUGUUGGGUGUGGUCCCCCCGGGGACCUGCCCGAAAGGCAGCGGCGACGUCCGUCUGGUCCUCGAGCGUAUGGGGCUCUGUCACUCGCUCGGGAAGGACCUGCGGGGGUUGGUCACCACUAUAUUUUACCACGGUUGACCUCGGAUCAGGUAGGAGUUACCCGCUGAACUUAAGCAUAUCAAUAAGCGGGGGA
RNAcentral lists this unclassified non-coding RNA (337 nucleotides) under soil metagenome. RNAcentral's name for it is "partial contains 5.8S ribosomal RNA, internal transcribed spacer 2, and large subunit ribosomal RNA". The stretch from base 1 to 120 matches the Rfam family "5.8S ribosomal RNA", at positions 35 to 154 of the family's 154-position model. The record is from RNAcentral.